This is a long non-coding RNA of Macrobrachium nipponense, 575 nucleotides long. RefSeq lists it as uncharacterized. The transcript has 3 exons. Lineage: Eukaryota; Metazoa; Arthropoda; Malacostraca; Decapoda; Palaemonidae. The record is from RefSeq and is a predicted model, not a curated record.
GGGGGAAAUAUCAAGAUCUUGUCAGAUACAACCUUUUUACAUUCGGGGGAAAUAUCAAGAUCUUGUCAGGAAAUAACUUUUUACCUCUUGUUAUUAAUUUGUUGAAAAAUAUUUCCUUGUUCUUUGGCUGACACUAAUGAUACUGAAUAACUUCCUUCUUUUGUCAUCUUCAUAAUAAUAAUAAUAAUAACGACGAGAACAGAACUCUCCCUCUGCAGAAUCUACAAAGGCCACGAGAAGCUCCUGACGGAGGUGACGGUCGACGGGAGAGUGACCAUAGCGAGAGCCGUUACAGAGGUCACACCCUCCGACAACGGAGCCAAGAUCUCUUGCCAGGUCUCAAAUCCGGCGACUGACGCGCCCCUGGUGGCAACAACGCCAAUCGAGUUGUUCUUUCCUCCUUGGGAAGUGAAGGCCUGGGUCUCCCCGACCAACGUCUCCGCGGGUCAAGUCGCAAAGCUGAUCUGUGAGUCGUCCUCGAGCCUUCCUGCUUCGACCAUCACUUGGAGGUCGGGCUCAGUCACCAACCACGGAGCCACUUCCAUGCACAGGUCGGGGCUCUAUGGAGGUCAGGU